GUAGGAGGGGCCAGGUGAGGACGCAAAGGAUGGGCUGAGACCUGCUCCUGUGCCUAUCGCAGCCUCAUAGCCCACAGUUCCUUUAAAGGUGCAUGAAUUCGUGAACUGGGUCCCUAGUUAUAGAAUAAAAACCAACUGUGUUCCAGUCCAAGAAGAAAAAUAAAUUACAAGCAAGUCAGAAUAGGAAAAAUAAAAUAAAAUGUUAAAAUGAAAAGGCAAGGUCAGGGGAAUGGGAGGAAAGUAGUAGAAUAGUUCAAUCCCAACUUCUUAAAGAUCUUUGAGGUGUGUGUGUGUGUGUGUGUGUGUGUGUGUGUGUGUUUCUUUGAGUAGUUUUUACUUCUCUACAUAGCAAACUGAAGCCCUGCGGUUUAUGCUUGACUUCCAUAGGGCCUCUCCACUACUUCCUUUGUGGAAAGAAGGGCUGGUUGGACAACAUGUUCAUUUUUUAUUGUUUCAUUACUUGCAAAAUGUUCUUGAGCAAACUCAGCUUGAUGGGUUAGUGUACAGGUUGGUGUGUUUCAAACCAUCCCUUUGGAGAUUGGGGGUAUUACUGCCCUGCAUGUAGCAAUCUUGUUUCAAACUUGAGCUUUCCAGUGGGCAUGGUCAAGAUAUGAUUAUGUUGACUUGGUUAUGUUAGGAUUUGCUUCAAUUAUGCAAAGAAGGUGUUUUGUGUUUUUUAAAUCAGCUGUGGCCAAGUCAGUGAAAGUAAGACCAAGUUAGUAAUAAAAUGAGGAGACACUAACAUCAAGGUGGUUGAGAAGGGAACUCAGUGUUUGGGCUGUUGUCAGUGCCGAGGCAUCCUGUAGUCCAAGGUCAAAGGUCUAAGGAGCAGGAGAAGCCACAGGCCUGGAGAGAGACAGGGACCAAUGUCAAGGCCUCACGUGUGCCCUGCCUGCCCCCAGUCAUUUUGAUAUGGAAAAGCCAAAGGAUUACUAGAGAGGUUAAAUUUUUCACAUGUCAAAAAAGUGAGGUUAGUUUUCAGGAGAGGUAGCAAAGACUAGUAGGAAUAAGAGGCAGAGCUCUCUUGCUUGCUAACGCUGUGGCCUUAGGCAAACCACUUAACCUCUUUGGGUUUUAAUUUUACAAAUGGAAGACUUAGAAGAUAGCCCAAGUUGGUUCAUCAUAAAGCUGAUGGACAUUCUAUUGAGAUCCUCCCCUAAGACCUCCCCUAACUCCAAGCCUUUAGAACCUUAAAAUGAAGGUUCCGGGGAAAUGCUCCCUCACAGGAGCAUACAGGUGCCUCCUCUCCCCUGCUCUCAACUUCCCCCACAGGCAUGCAUCUCCUAAACUCUAAGGAACUUCAGGAGACAUGUAACCAGGGCAGCAAUGGGCAGUGACAGUUCAUCCCAAGCUAAUCCCCUGAACCUGUUCCCGAGGCCCCCUUUUCACUGACUUUUUUCAAAAAUAUGUUUUUAUUGAUUUUAGAGAGAGAGGAAGGGAGAGGUUGAGAGAUAGAAACAUUGAUGCAUCAGCAUUGGUCAGCUGCCUCCUGCACACCCCUUGCUGGGGAUCCAGCCAGAAAUUCCGGCAUGUGCCCUGACCUGGAAUCGAACCUGGACUUCUUGAUAUCUUGAUACAUGGGUUAAUGCUCAGCCACUGAGCCACAUCAGCCAAGCUUCACUGACUUCUUAGUGAGUCAAAGCAGACCAGCCUAGGCCCAUUUCUCCAGCUCUUCCUUGUUUCACCGUCUGCAGCUUUAAUAAACGUCCUCUAAACUUCA
This is a long non-coding RNA of Pipistrellus kuhlii (Kuhl's pipistrelle), 1720 nucleotides long. RefSeq lists it as uncharacterized. The record is from RefSeq and is a predicted model, not a curated record. The transcript is spliced from 2 exons. Lineage: Eukaryota; Metazoa; Chordata; Mammalia; Chiroptera; Vespertilionidae.